Molecule: long non-coding RNA, 364 nt
Filed under: Volvox carteri
Lineage: Eukaryota; Viridiplantae; Chlorophyta; Chlorophyceae; Chlamydomonadales; Volvocaceae
Description: long non-coding RNA (VCAR_LNC000447)
Source: RNAcentral
CUGACGUGUGAUCUCCUGAUCUCCUGAUGUCCUGAUGUCCUAUCCUAUCCUAUCUGGGUGUGAACGUAUCGAUUACAGGAGCUACGAAGGGAAAGCGGUGUGCUGUCUGGGCUGUACGGCUUAACGGCUCCCGGUGCAUCCGUACUGUCAUGACUACAUGUGUUGCUGAACACGUUCGUAGUUCGUACUGUACGAUUGUAGGGGUGUUUUUGUUUGUUUGCUCUCCCCGCGGUGAUGCAGGGGGCAAUUGGAUUAGCGUGGCAGGGCACGAACAGUUAGACCGCAUGUCGGUCGGCAUGUCCCAUAAUAUAUGCAGCAUUUCUGUAGCUAGCUGAACGCAUUGGCGAAGGCCACCCUGAAUUUU